GCCUGGCUGGCUCAGUUGGUUAGAGCAUGUGACUCUUGAUCUCAGGGUCAUGAGUUCGAGCCCCAUGUUGGGUA
Molecule: non-coding RNA, 74 nt
Organism: Mirounga angustirostris (Northern elephant seal)
Lineage: Eukaryota; Metazoa; Chordata; Mammalia; Carnivora; Phocidae
Source: the annotation of a RefSeq genome assembly